UACAGAGGGGGCAAGCGUUAUUCGGAAUUAUUGGGCGUAAAGGGCGCGUAGGCGGCCUGGCAAGUGGAAGGUGAAAUCCCCCGGCUUAACCUGGGAACUGCGUCUGAUACUGGGAGGCUUGAGUAUGGGAGAGGGAUGUAGAAUUCCAGGUGUAGCGGUGAAAUGCGUAGAUAUCUGGAGGAAUACCGGUGGCGAAGGCGGCAUCCUGGACCAUAACUGACGCUGAGGCGCGAAAGCUAGGGGAGCAAACGGG
This 253-nucleotide ribosomal RNA is filed under the name uncultured bacterium. RNAcentral describes it as "partial 16S ribosomal RNA". It matches the Rfam family "Bacterial small subunit ribosomal RNA", at positions 524 to 776 of the family's 1533-position model. The record is from RNAcentral.